CAGUAGCCACGGUAAUACGAAGGUCCCGAGCGUUGUUCGGAAUCACUGGGCGUAAAGGGAGCGUAGGCGGCGUGGUAAGUCAGAUGUGAAAUCCCGGGGCUCAACCCCGGAACUGCAUCCGAUACUGCCGUGCUAGAGGAUUGGAGAGGUAGCUGGAAUUCUUGGUGUAGCAGUGAAAUGCGUAGAGAUGUGGAGGAACACCAGUGGCGAAGGCGACUCUCUGGUCUGUAGCUGACGCUGAGGAGCGAAAGCGUGGGGAGCGAACAGGAUUAGAUACCCGCGUAGUCCCUGUCUCUUAUAC
Molecule: ribosomal RNA, 301 nt
Filed under: uncultured bacterium
Lineage: Bacteria
Description: partial 16S ribosomal RNA
Rfam family: Bacterial small subunit ribosomal RNA
Source: RNAcentral